UACAGAGGUCUCAAGCGUUGUUCGGAUUCAUUGGGCGUAAAGGGUGUGUAGGUGGCGCGCUAAGUCGGGUGUGAAAUUUCGGAGCUUAACUCCGAAACUGCAUUCGAUACUGGCGUGCUUGAGGACUGGAGAGGAGACUGGAAUUCAUGGUGUAGCAGUGAAAUGCGUAGAUAUUCGCAAGAACACCAGUGGCGAAGGCGGCUCACUGGCCCGGUACUGACGCUGAGGUGCGAAAGCGUGGGGAGCAAACAGG
RNAcentral lists this ribosomal RNA (253 nucleotides) under uncultured bacterium. Its description in RNAcentral is "partial 16S ribosomal RNA". It matches the Rfam family "Bacterial small subunit ribosomal RNA", at positions 524 to 776 of the family's 1533-position model. The record is from RNAcentral.